ACCCGCUGAACUUAAGCAUAUCAAUAAGCGGAGGAAAAGAAACCAACAGGGAUUACCUCAGUAACGGCGAGUGAAGCGGUAACAGCUCAAAUUUGAAAUCUGGCUCUUUCAGGGUCCGAGUUGUAAUUUGUAGAAGAUGCUUCGGGUGUGGUCCCGGUCUAAGUUCCUUGGAACAGGACGUCAUAGAGGGUGAGAAUCCCGUAUGUGACUGGGUACCUAUGCUCAUGUGAAGCUCUUUCGACGAGUCGAGUUGUUUGGGAAUGCAGCUCAAAAUGGGUGGUAAAUUUCAUCUAAAGCUAAAUAUUGGCCAGAGACCGAUAGCGCACAAGUAGAGUGAUCGAAAGAUGAAAAGCACUUUGGAAAGAGAGUUAAACAGUACGUGAAAUUGUUGAAAGGGAAGCGCUUGCAACCAGACUUGCACGUUGUUGAUCAUCCGAGAUUUUUCCCGGUGCACUCGAUUUCGUUCAGGCCAGCAUCGGUUUCAGUGGUUGGAUAAAGGCCUUGGGAAUGUAGCUUCUUUCGGGGAGUGUUAUAGCCCUCGGUGCAAUGCAGCCUACUGGGACCGAGGACCGCGCUUCGGCUAGGAUGCUGGCGUAAUGGUUGUAAGCGACCCGUCUUGAAACACGG
Molecule: ribosomal RNA, 627 nt
Filed under: uncultured fungus
Lineage: Eukaryota; Fungi
Description: eukaryotic LSU rRNA
Rfam family: Eukaryotic large subunit ribosomal RNA
Source: RNAcentral